CGUAGGCGGCUUUUUAAGUCGGAUGUGAAAUCCCUGAGCUUAACUUAGGAAUUGCAUUCGAUACUGGGAAGCUAGAGUAUGGGAGAGGAUGGUAGAAUUCCAGGUGUAGCGGUGAAAUGCGUAGAGAUCUGGAGGAAUACCGAUGGCGAAGGCAGCCAUCUGGCCUAAUACUGACGCUGAGGUACGAAAGCAUGGGGAGCAAACA
This 205-nucleotide ribosomal RNA is filed under the name uncultured bacterium. Its description in RNAcentral is "partial 16S ribosomal RNA". It matches the Rfam family "Bacterial small subunit ribosomal RNA", at positions 570 to 774 of the family's 1533-position model. The record is from RNAcentral.